GAUGAACGCUGGCGGCGUGCCUAACACAUGCAAGUCGAGCGGCAGCGAGGGGUGCUUGCACCCUGUCGGCGAGCGGCGGACGGCUGAGUAACGCGUGGGAACGUGCCCCAAAGUGAGGAAUAACUGCCCGAAAGGGUAGCUAAUACCGCAUAUUAUCUUCGGAUCAAAGGAUUUAUCCGCUUUGGGAGCGGCUCGCGUCGGAUUAGGUAGUUGGUGAGGUAAUGGCUCACCAAGCCGACGAUCCGUAGCUGGUCUGAGAGGAUGACCAGCCAGACUGGAACUGAGACACGGACCAGACUCCUACGGGAGGCAGCAGUGAGGAAUCUUCCACAAUGGGCGAAAGCCUGAUGGAGCAACGCCGCGUGCAGGACGAAGGCCUUCGGGUUGUAAACUGCUUUUAUAAGUGAGGAAUAUGACGGUAACUUAUGAAUAAGGAUCGGCUAACUACGUG
RNAcentral lists this ribosomal RNA (451 nucleotides) under uncultured bacterium. RNAcentral describes it as "partial 16S ribosomal RNA". It matches the Rfam family "Bacterial small subunit ribosomal RNA", at positions 28 to 507 of the family's 1533-position model. The record is from RNAcentral.